Molecule: long non-coding RNA, 268 nt
Organism: Mus musculus (house mouse)
Lineage: Eukaryota; Metazoa; Chordata; Mammalia; Rodentia; Muridae
Product: predicted gene, 46488
Exons: 2
Source: RefSeq, a predicted model, not a curated record
AGUCACCCCAAAAUCUGAAAACUUCCAGCAUCUAAAUAAUUUCUGGUCCCAUGGGUUUCAGGCUGGCCUGGACCUUUCAGUCCUCCUGACUUGGGUUCUCAAGUGCUGUGACUCAGACAUGCCUUAUCACACCAGGUGUUUGUUCUUGUGUCUACCCCGCACUGGCUCCUGCUGCCAGAGUAACACUAAGCACGUCUGAUCUGAAGGACAUUGGUACACUCCUGGGAAAUUGUGUUGUCAUAAUAAAUUAUAAGUAGAAGACAUUGUA